CAAUUCGCGGACGGCGUGCGGCGGCAGGUUGAUGCCGACGCCGACGUCGCGGAUUUCACGCGCUGCUUCGAGCAGGAGAAUGUCGCCCUGGCCGGCGGCGUGCAAAGACAACGCCGCCGUCAGUNCAACUCCCGCGCCUAUGAUCGCGAUCGACAUCGCGCUUCAGCUCCGGUCAGGCUGCCGCGGCUGCGCGCGGGAAUUCCACCAUCGCCUCGCCGACCGCGACCUUUUCACCGUUCUGGCUCUUCACCAGCACGUCGAUCAGCACGAAACGCGAGUUCUUGGUGGUCUGCUUGGCCUUGAUGAUACCCGCCGGCUGU
Molecule: unclassified non-coding RNA, 320 nt
Filed under: Hevea brasiliensis (rubber tree)
Lineage: Eukaryota; Viridiplantae; Streptophyta; Magnoliopsida; Malpighiales; Euphorbiaceae
Source: RNAcentral